Molecule: long non-coding RNA, 1140 nt
Filed under: Olea europaea subsp. europaea
Lineage: Eukaryota; Viridiplantae; Streptophyta; Magnoliopsida; Lamiales; Oleaceae
Source: RNAcentral
CUAGCCUCAUUGCGUGCAAGCCAAAGCUCCCAAGCAAUUAGCGCAGGGGUCAAAAGAGCAAGUUAAUGAAAUUGCGAAGAACCAUCAAAUUGGUGCAAUUGAUUAAUAAGUACGGCAUGCCAUGAACUAGCAAAAACAUUUCGAGCUCCAAAGAUGUUGGCAAAAUGAGUCAAAACAUGAGUCGCUGCUUCGCUAGUAUGAAAUAGGUACUCAACGUCCUCCACCUUUGUAUGAGAACAACAUUAACAUUUUGAUACUAAUGGGACACCACGACUUCUAAUAACACUAUCCACUGGUAUUAUACCAAACCAAACACGCCAGAAGAAAAUUGAGAUUUUUACUGGGAGCAAUUUAUUCCAAAUCAAUUUGAAGAGAUAACUUUUGUCCUUGGUCUCACGUAAAAGAUUCCAAGUCGCAUUAGUAAAGAACUCUCCUGUUAGAGUCGGACACCAAAUCAGUUUGUCUGGCACUUGCUUCAAGCGGAUAGCUAAAGUAUGAAUGUAAGCCAUCAAAUUGUCACCUCCCAGCUUAUGAAUAAGAUCAGUAUUCCAAACAUCCUUUGCACAAACAUCUUUCAACUGUAACCUUGGUUCAUUAACAAUCCAGCCUUGGUCAUAUAAAGAGCCAAAACCUGUCCAGUUUGCAUACCAAAAUUAGAUUUUUCCUUCACCGAUCAUCCACCUGUUGUGGUCAUGAAUAAAAGGAAGAUGUUUACUUAAAGUACGCCAACAUGGGGAUGAACUAAGUCCAGGUGAGUAAGAGUUCAUGUUAAAAUUUACAGUCAAAUAUUUCUGCCUUAUGAAUGCAGCCCAUAAAGAGUCACCUCUCAAGACUCUCCAUAGCAUUUUACAUUGGAGUGAGUAUAAAACAUCAAAUAAACUUAGGACGCCCAAUCUCCCUUCAUAAGAGGGAAAACAGAUUUUCUUCCAAGAAAUCCAAUGAUAUUUAUGCUUCCCUUUAUAAUCACCCCAGAAAAAAUUAGCAACGAUCUGUUGUAGUUCAUGAAUCACUUUAUCUAGAGGGUGUAUCACUAACAUUAAAUAUAUAGGCAUAGAGGUUAAUACCGAUCGAAUGAGUGUGAGCUUACCUCCCCAAGAAAGUAGUUUACCUUUCCAGCCUGCAACCUUUUUACAAACUUUG